RNAcentral lists this ribosomal RNA (424 nucleotides) under uncultured bacterium. RNAcentral describes it as "bacterial SSU rRNA". It matches the Rfam family "Bacterial small subunit ribosomal RNA", at positions 355 to 776 of the family's 1533-position model. The record is from RNAcentral.
UAAGGAAUAUUGGUCAAUGGACGCAAGUCUGAACCAGCUAUGCCGCGUGAAGGAUUAAGGUCCUCUGGAUUGUAAACUUCUUUUAUCUGGGACGAAAAAAGGUUUUUCUAAGCCUCUUGACGGUACCAGAUGAAUAAGCACCGGCUAACUCCGUGCCAGCAGCCGCGGUAAUACGGAGGGUGCAAGCGUUGUCCGGAAUUAUUGGGCGUAAAGAGCUCGUAGGUGGUUCGUCACGUCGGAUGUGAAAAUCUGGGGCUCAACCUGGGAAGUGCAUUUGAAACUAGUAGACUUGAGUAUGGGAGAGGGAAGUGGAAUUCCUGGUGUAGAGGUGAAAUUCGUAGAUAUCAGGAGGAACACCGGUGGCGAAGGCGACUUCCCGGACCAAUACUGACGCUGAGGCGCGAAGGCGUGGGGAGCAAACAGG